AAUCAACGCUGGCGGCGUGCCUAACACAUGCAAGUCGAACGCGAAAGCCCCUUCGGGGGUAAGUAGAGUGGCGUCCGGGUGAGUAACACGUAGGUAAUCUACCUUCGGGUGGGGGAAGUAACCAGUCGAAAGAUUGGCUAAUACCGCAUAAUGCAGCGGCACCUAAUGGUGAUUAGUUGUUAAAGACGGGGGAGUCGUAAGACCUCGCGCCUGAAGAGGAGCCUGCGGCAGAUUAGCUAGUUGGNGAGGUAAUGGCUCACCAAGGCUUCGAUCUGUAGCUGGUCUGAGAGGACGGCCAGCCACACUGGCACUGACACACGGGCCAGACUCCUACGGGAGGCAGCAGU
RNAcentral lists this ribosomal RNA (347 nucleotides) under uncultured bacterium. RNAcentral describes it as "bacterial SSU rRNA". It matches the Rfam family "Bacterial small subunit ribosomal RNA", at positions 32 to 355 of the family's 1533-position model. The record is from RNAcentral.